GAUGAACGCUGACAGAAUGCUUAACACAUGCAAGUCUACUUGAAGCUAACUUCGGUUAGUGGAUGGUGGCGGACGGGUGAGUAACGCGUAAAGAACUUGCCUCACAGAUUGGGACAACAUUUGGAAACGAAUGCUAAUACCGGAUAUUAUGAUACUUCCGCAUGGAAGAAUCAUGAAAGCUAUAUGCGCUGUGAGAGAGCUUUGCGUCCCAUUAGCUAGUUGGAGAGGUAACGGCUCACCAAGGCGAUGAUGGGUAGCCGGCCUGAGAGGGUGAACGGCCACAAGGGGACUGAGACACGGCCCUUACUCCUACGGGAGGCAGCAGUGGGGAAUAUUGGACAAUGGACCAAAAGUCUGAUCCAGCAAUUCUGUGUGCACGAUGAAGUUUUUCGGAAUGUAAAGUGCUUUCAGUUGGGAAGAAGCAAGUGACGGUACCAACAGAAGAAGCGACGGCUAAAUACGUGCCAGCAGCCGCGGUAAUACGUAUGUCGCAAGCGUUAUCCGGAUUUAUUGGGCGUAAAGCGCGUCUAGGUGGUUAUAUAAGUCUGAUGUGAAAAUGCGGGGCUCAACUCCGUAUUGCGUUGGAAACUGUAUGACUAGAGUACUGGAGAGGUAAGCGGAACUACAAGUGUAGAGGUGAAAUUCGUAGAUAUUUGUAGGAAUGCCGAUGGGGAAGCCAGCUUACUGGACAGAUACUGACGCUAAAGCGCGAAAGCGUGGGUAGCAAACAGG
RNAcentral lists this ribosomal RNA (732 nucleotides) under uncultured bacterium. Its description in RNAcentral is "bacterial SSU rRNA". It matches the Rfam family "Bacterial small subunit ribosomal RNA", at positions 28 to 776 of the family's 1533-position model. The record is from RNAcentral.